This 464-nucleotide ribosomal RNA is filed under the name uncultured bacterium. RNAcentral describes it as "bacterial SSU rRNA". It matches the Rfam family "Bacterial small subunit ribosomal RNA", at positions 328 to 793 of the family's 1533-position model. The record is from RNAcentral.
UCACCAGACUCCUACGGGAGGCAGCAGUGGGGAAUAUUGCACAAUGGGGGGAACCCUGAUGCAGCGACGCCGCGUGGGUGAAGGAGCACCUCGGUGCGUAAAGCCCUAUCGGCAGGGAAGAAAAGCGAACAGGUUCGCCUGGACGGUACCUGACUAAGAAGCCCCGGCUAACUACGUGCCAGCAGCCGCGGUAAUACGUAGGGGGCAAGCGUUAUCCGGAUUUACUGGGUGUAAAGGGAGCGUAGGCGGCGAUGCAAGUCAGAAGUGAAAGCCCGGGGCUCAACUCCGGGACUGCUUUUGAAACUGUGUCGCUAGAUUGCAGGAGAGGUAAGUGGAAUUCCUAGUGUAGCGGUGAAAUGCGUAGAUAUUAGGGGGAACACCAGUGGCGAAGGCGGCUUACUGGACUGUAAAUGACGCUGAGGCUCGAAAGCGUGGGGAGCAAACAGGAUUAGAUACCCUAGUAC